RNAcentral lists this ribosomal RNA (484 nucleotides) under uncultured bacterium. RNAcentral's name for it is "partial 16S ribosomal RNA". It matches the Rfam family "Bacterial small subunit ribosomal RNA", at positions 28 to 523 of the family's 1533-position model. The record is from RNAcentral.
GACGAACGCUGGCGGCGUGCCUAACACAUGCAAGUCGAGCGGAGACAGCAAGUAGCAAUACGAACUGUUUUAGCGGCGGACGGGUGAGUAACGCGUGAGCAACCUGUCCCAAACAGGGGGAUAACGAACCGAAAGGUUCACUAAUACCGCAUAAGACCACAGAGUCACAUGGCUCAAGGGUCAAAGGAGAAAUCCGGUUUGGGGUGGGCUCGCGUCUGAUUAGCUAGUUGGUGGGGUAACGGCCUACCAAGGCGACGAUCAGUAGCCGACCUGAGAGGGUGAUCGGCCACAUUGGAACUGAGACACGGUCCAAACUCCUACGGGAGGCAGCAGUGGGGAAUAUUGCACAAUGGGGGAAACCCUGAUGCAGCGACGCCGCGUGAGCGAUGAAGGAAUUCGUUUCGUAAAGCUCUGUCCAAGGGGAAGAUAAUGACAGUACCCUUGGAGGAAGCCCCGGCUAAAUACGUGCCAGCAGCCGCAGUAA